This 1323-nucleotide long non-coding RNA is filed under the name Ananas comosus (pineapple). Its description in RNAcentral is "long non-coding RNA (ACOM_LNC016828)". The record is from RNAcentral. Lineage: Eukaryota; Viridiplantae; Streptophyta; Magnoliopsida; Poales; Bromeliaceae.
CCCUUUUUUCUAAAAAAAAUCGUUAACUAAAAAAAAAUCACAACAUGCCCAAAAAAAUUAUAAUAGAAUUUCUUUGGUCACUACAACAGAAUUAGGUUAUAUGGACACAUGUUUGGGACACUUUUCUGUAAGUGUCCUAUUUAUGCCAAAAAUUUUUAAAAAAAAAUCUACUAAUGCAUAAAUAUAAAGUUCAAUCCAACCAAAAAAUAAAAGGUUAAUCUAUUCAACCCACCCUACCCAGUCCAUUCGGUCUGAUUACAAACAGAAAAGAAAAAGAAAAGAAAAAAUCGAUUACCAUUUUUCCUUCUCCCCUCGCUCAAUCGACUGAAAUUCUAGACGAAGAUCCCUUCCUCUCGUCCUCCUUCGCCACCGUAGCCAACGAGGUAGAGUUCCGGUGGCUGCUAAAUGCUUAAAUAAAUAUUGGUAAAUUAGCAUCACUCUUUUUAGGUUAUAGCGACACUCUUUAACUGUCACUAUAUACCUAGCAACCCCACAUAUAGCAACACUUUUUAGAAGUGUUAGUAAUUUAGCCAGCAGCACUUGUUUUGACCUGUACCGACAUUUAAUAGUGUCGCUAAAAACCGUUUUUAUUGUAGUGGGUGAAUUACUAAUUCUAUUUAAACUAUUUUAGUAAAUAAAUUGCAAUAUGUAAUACUAAAAAUUUUAAAAAAUUUGCUAAACUCCAAGAUAGAAAAUUUUAUUUUUGUAACAUAAUAUUUUAGUUUUCUCUUUUUGCUAAAAACCCAAAGGUAUUGCUUAAAAUCCAAAAACACGAUAACACUAUGUAGUGGCCAGGGGUGGUGGCACCACAUUUAUUUUAGCAUAGGAGAGGCAGGGUGAGCCCAUUUUUUUGUUUCAACCCAAUUCUCCUCUCUCUCUCUCUCUCUCUCUCUCUCUCUCUCUCUCUCUCUCUCUCUCAUACUACAGGACCAAUUUCCUAAAUCUUUUUAUGGAAGUAUCGUAGUUUGAAAAUCAAGUAGGGAAAACGUCUAAUUAUUUUGAAACCUACCUUACUCAUAGGAUGUACAAACUCGUCGCAAAUAUAGAGAUUUCUCUGUCCAUAUAAAUAUAGUUUCCCAUAUACUUGCAUAGCAUAUCGGCCUAUUACAACAUCAUACAACCUAGUACAAUUCACACUAACACCAGGAGUUGGGCUGUAAUACCAUUGAUACUAAUUCUAUUCUAACCAUUUUAGCAAAUAAAUUGCAAUAUUAAAUACUAAAAAUUUAAACGAAUAUGCUAAACUCCAAGAUAGAAAAUUUUAUUUUUGUUGCAUAAUAUUUUAGUUUUCUUUUUUUGCUAAAAAUCCAAAAGUAUUGCUUA